RNAcentral lists this transfer RNA (73 nucleotides) under bacterium. Its description in RNAcentral is "tRNA-Phe". It matches the Rfam family "tRNA". Rfam says of the family: Transfer RNA (tRNA) molecules are approximately 80 nucleotides in length. Their secondary structure includes four short double-helical elements and three loops (D, anti-codon, and T loops). RNAcentral also lists the same sequence under 1 other name. The record is from RNAcentral.
GGCGCGAUAGCUCAGUUGGUAGAGCAACGGACUGAAAAUCCGUGUGUCACUGGUUCAAUUCCAGUUCGUGCCA